ACUCCUACGGGAGGCAGCAGCUAAGAAUCUUCCGCAAUGGACGAAAGUCUGACGGAGCGACGCCGCGUGAGCGAAGAAGGUGCUCUGCAUUGUAAAGCUCUUUCGGGAAGGAAGAAUAAGGGUCCAUGAAUAGUGGAUCUGAUGACGACCCUUCCUAAAGAAGCCCCGGCUAACUACGUGCCAGCAGCCGCGGCAAUACGUAGGGGGUAAGCGUUGUUCGGAAUCACUGGGCGUAAAGGGCAUGUAGGCGGGAAAGUAAGUUGGGGGUGAAAUCUACGGGCUCAACCUGUAAACUGCCUUCAAAACUGCUUUUCUUGAAUGUGGGAGGGGAGAUCGGAAUUCCUAGUGUAGGAGUGAAAUCUGUAGAUAUUAGGAUGAACACCGAUGGCGAAGGCAGAUCUCUGGCCUGACAUUGACGCUGAUAUGCGAAAGCGUGGGGAGCGAACAGGAUUAGAUACCCUGGUAGUC
This 468-nucleotide ribosomal RNA is filed under the name uncultured bacterium. RNAcentral describes it as "bacterial SSU rRNA". It matches the Rfam family "Bacterial small subunit ribosomal RNA", at positions 335 to 795 of the family's 1533-position model. The record is from RNAcentral.